GACCCACUUCAAUCUGAUUGCCAGCCGCAUUUAGGCACCGAGACUGUCCAAGGGGAGACUGCCCUGAGGGAUGACCAAUUCUGGAAGAAGGAUAGGGGAAGGGCAACCCUGUUAAUUCUCUUGGGCCUCUCAACCACUGUUUCCUUCAAUGGUUGGGCCUAUUGCGUUUCAGUGAAUCCAUUCCUGCUAGGAUGGCGAUUCCAAGAAACUGUGCUGAGAGACUAAGGUUUGCCCUUGUAGUAUCUAUGUUAGGAGGGUUCUAUCCUUUCUCCAAUGAGUUUAAAUAUUUACAUGAAAUGGGCUGGGACCAGAUCUUUACCUUUGCCACCCCCAUGGGCCAACAUUGGCAGGUGGGUUGUCCUGUCUACCUGUCAAAGUUGGCCGGCAGGGUUGGGGAAGAUAGUCCCCAAACACCUGCAUUUCAGACCUGUUUUCAGCUGAUGUGCGGGGAGUUUAAUCGUACUUUCUGCAGCUGUGUCUUUAUCUACUCCACACCUGACAUUCUAUAUAUCAUCAGGUGUGGGAAAAGUGGGUGGGGCUUGGGAGAAAUGGUCUGGUGGGCCAAGUUUGGUCUACAGGCCAGAGGCUCCCUAACCCAGCCAUAAAACCAUGAUAUGAGACCAUUUGGAGUGAAGUGUAAUCAGCACACUGUUGAUAUUCAUCUAUGCUUCUCCAUAGCAUAGUUCAACUUUUUUUCUGAUCAGAACUGUAUGCCCCCUAAAGGAUCAUGUUUGCAGUUUGGGGAUUCUGAUAGAUGGAGUAGAUGGAGACUGGUUUGGUGUAAUUCUGUAAGUAAAACAUUCAAUGGUUGAGUAAAGCUAAGUGUCUGUGAUUUAUUCUAGCCUAAGUAUUUUAUAGGGAAUGUUUGCUUAAAGAUGGGUGAGGGCAAAAUUAAAUCUAAUCAAAUUCAAAUGGGUUUGCAGCAAUCACCACUUUAACUCUGCUGUGAGAGAGUACGAAAUCUCUCUUUCCAGCAGUGUAUCCUUUAAUUAGACUUAGACUGGGCAGCUCUUCAAAUAGAGGACACUCCUUUGUGAAGCAGGGGCACACAGUCACACUCUCUGUGGGUGGAGUUGUGUUUCUUUCAGAUCACCUCUAGUCUUGAUGCUAUCACUUCCCCUCUUAUGUAACAGCUCUCUUAAUAAAACUUGCCAAUUAAAUCUAGACAGCUGCAGGUUGUGUUCAAAACGGACACUUGCUCUCACAUAUAUUCCAAACUACAAGGGGGUUUCAGCACAGUAUGAACUGAAAAAAAGCACUGUUGUGCUCCAGCAUGUACAAUUUUCCAUUGAGUGUCACUCUGAGACCUCUAAAAAGCUCUAAACCUGGAAUGAUCCUCAGAGUAUUUUACAAGGCAAUUGGCAUUUAAUUAGCCUUGCCAAAUGCCCAAAGGGUAUAUUUAACUCAUUUUUUUUCAACCCAAUGCCAUACUAUAUCUGAAAAUAUGUGUAUUAGUGUUUAUAUCACCAUCUCACUUUUUAGUGGCUCAUGUAGAAUAAUACUAUAUAAAGAGGAGCAAUUUGAUGGCAAUAAACGGCAAAGCACUCAGAUGAGAGCACUCUUUAAAAAUGUCACUUAAGGACGGUUAUUAAGAAUAGCAAGAGAUUGCCUAGCGCUUGCUAUUCCUAGAAGUACAUUUCAUUCAGAUGCUGCAAGUAUUGUGUUGAUACCAGUUUAUGUGAGCAGCUGAAAAAUGAAAGGAUAAAAAUUCAUAUUAAAUAUUUGAAAUAUGCAAUACACUUUGAAGAGCAGUAUUGGUAUAAUGAAUGAUGGAGGGGGGGGUAAAAUCCGAUCAGUUAGGGCUAUGCACAUAAUUUCUGAUGAGAUCUGUUGCAUAAAGCACCAAACUGAUCUUUUCAGCUGAGCAGUUUUUGACCUUUUACUGGGGGCGGGAGGGGGUGAUGGGGGGGAAAGAGAAGAGAAAAUGCCCUAACAAUUGGGUUGAGGCAGGAUAAAUUUGUAUGUAAAUAUGUAGUUUUGUUACUGAUUGUCGUAGCUCUGGACAAGGAGAUGACCUCACAUGGGCUCUCCAGUUGUGGUGCAUUGAGAAGGGACAAUCAGAAUGCUCUUUUUCAAGUUGACUCCCAUAGGAGUGGUUGACUCCCCUGGAAUGGGUAAUGUUGAAAGAGUUGUGGUACUGGCAGAUUUUUGCUUGUGGACUCUUCCAAUCCAGACCAAUCCUCUCCUAAAACCCAGCCCCCUUCUUAUUGUGGGAUGUAAUCCAUUGGAGUAGUCAAAUACAACAUUCCUUGUUUCCCCAGAGCGGACACAGGCAGGGGGAUGUUACUCCAGCCAGUAUAACUUCCUGUUUCACUGGUCUGGAGCAUCCAUCCCCUGCAUGUGACCCGGGAGAUGGGCUGACUCCAUAAAAGAGCCAAGUCCCGCAGCCAUCUCUCUCUCUUGAUGCCAUGCUGCUCUCCUGCAGCCAUUUUGUUCUCUUGAUGCUGUUCUCUUAAUGUAUUUUGCUGUCUGCUGGCUCUCAACCAGCCGCACAUGGGCUCAAUUCCCAUAAGGGAUGAACUCACACUAUGUUCUGUAGCUACUAGCUAAAGCCUGCCUUCAGGGAUCAUACUGUGAACUGAAUGUGAGUAAACUUCUAGUUACUUUUAAGGAAAGACUCUUAUGUAUUCUUUUAUGAGGGAUAAAAGGGGACACCAGGAAUAAUGCAAUCUGAUCAAGCCAGAUUGGAUUGCUUAACUAAAGAGAUUCAAACGAAUCUACAAACUAGCUUCCUGCUGAAUUGAGGGGAAUCUGCCCUGCUACAUGACUCACUAGCGUGAGUGAAGGAAGGAUAAUAUUUAAUCAUUCUCACACUUAUUUGCUCUUGCUUAUAUCUAAAUUGCAUUUUGUUUGUUAAUUAUUUGGUCAGUCACUUCCUGUCUCUCCGCCCGCAUUCUGGCAUUAGUUGCAUUUGGUUUGAGUCCCAUGUUAAAUAUCUAUAGGUCUGUGCACUUCUGAGUAAUAGUAUGGGUUCUUUCUUAGUAUUCUGGUAAGUAAUGAAAAGGUUACAGGCACCCCUUAAGAAGCCCCACCCCUCAAAAUCUAAAGGCUUCACCUUCUCAGAAGGAGGUGCUUCUAUGUUUGCAAAUUUCAUCCAGUUCUGCAAAAAAAGCUAUAGUUAUCUGAAGCUUCAGAGAACUAUUCCACCUCAGAUAAAAAGUGCUGUGGGUCUGUCCAAAGUGGUUCAAAGUGAGGCAUCCCCUAGGGAUGCGGAGGCCUCUCUGUGAGGCCUUAAUUCAUCCUUAGUACCUGGUAUCCAAUUGCCCAGGCAGGUGCAUUUUGUGACCCAUGAGAGCAGCAAAAUAACCAGACUGUACAAGGAUGGUGGGAUAAAAUCAGGCCAAAUCUUUACUGACAGCAGCAGGCAGGGGAAAUGUUUGGGGACAUCUGGUGCAUAUAUUUGGGGUAAUGUAAGUUGAGUGAUAACUGGCCAUUGUGUAUAUUCACCAGGCCCCCGUGAAUCUGAACAUAUAAUGAAAAUUGUGCUCAUUCCCUAAUCAAUAUACAUAAUGUACCACGGGCCUUGGGGAAUGUGCAUAUCUCCACUGAAAAUGUGGUUGUGAUAUACACAUUCCUCUGUUGUAAAUCAUGUACAUUGACUGGGAAAUGUGAACAAUUCUGUCUUCAUGGAUAGAUUGUCCACCCAGCCUCUAGAAGGCUUGGUGAAUGAACACAAUGGUGGGUUGUUAUGUACAUUAAUUGAUCUAGUUACAUUGCCUUUAACAUAUAUACCGAGGGAGGAUAUCUAGAUUGCGGCUAAUUUGGAAUGUUGGAAAUGUUGGAAAUGUAAAGAAACUGAAGGUACAUUCUUUCACCUUUGGUGGACGUGCCCAAAGAUUAAGGCUUUCUGGGAAAUGAUAUAUAAUGAAUUAAAAAAGGUAUUUAAGUAUACCUUCCCUAAGAAACCAGAGGCCUUUCUCCUGGGCAUAGCCGGCCAAAUGGUGUUAAAAAAGGAUAGAACUUUCUUUAUGUAUGCAACAACAGCAGCAAGAAUACUCAUCGCAAAGUAUUGGAAGACACAAGAACUUCCCACACUGGAGGAAUGGCAGAUGAAACUUAUGGACUAUAUGGAAUUGGCGGAAAUGACUGGUAGAAUCCGUGACCAGGGAGAAGAGUCGAUGGAGGAAGACUGGAAGAAAUUCAAAGACUAUCUUCAGAAACAUUGCAAAAUUAAGGAAUGUUAAAGGGAUGUUGGACUGAAAGUAAGUGGUUUCCAGCUGCACAGGUUAAAGUUAAUGAUAGAUUAAGAUUAAAGAUCAAGAUUAAAGAUGUUUAAAGAAAUGGAAAUUUGAUAUUAAAAGGGAAAAUUUUAACGUUAUAUGAUAUUAAGAUCAAGGAUUAGGUUUAAAAAGUUGAAGUUAUAUAUUUUAACAUUUUAUUAAAUUAAAGAUUGGGAUUAAAAAGUGGAAAAGAAACUGCUGGACAAAUAAUGUGGAUUGGAAUACAAAAGAGGGAGGUAUGAGGAAGUCCAGAAAAUAAGUAAUUUAAAAUUGGAAAUGGAAAAGAGAGUUUGUUUUUAAUUGUUAUGCUUUUUGUUUUUUAUUGUUGAGUUUUGUAUUUUUUUUGUGUGUGUUGUUUUUUUUCUUUUGUUGUUUAAAACUUU
This is a non-coding RNA of Podarcis lilfordi (Lilford's wall lizard), 4603 nucleotides long. The record is from the annotation of a GenBank genome assembly. NCBI's taxonomy places the organism in Eukaryota, Metazoa, Chordata, Lepidosauria, Squamata, Lacertidae.